This is a non-coding RNA of Coffea arabica (coffee), 4834 nucleotides long. Lineage: Eukaryota; Viridiplantae; Streptophyta; Magnoliopsida; Gentianales; Rubiaceae. The record is from RefSeq and is a predicted model, not a curated record.
AUUGAUACUGUGUUCCAAAUUAGCUCUACCUACAAUAGGUAUCUCAAUUUUGCCAAUCCUACUCAAUGUUCGCAUCUCGAUCUUACAUCAACACUAGAGGAGGCUUUUGAGACAUUACAAUACUUAAAUCAGAAAAUGCAGAUGGCAAUUGGAUUCUUUGACUGUCAGAAUAUCGGGCCAUCUACCUCUCAUGCUGUCCCUUUUGAGAUAUUUGUCAAACAUCUACCUCGACAGGUGCGUGGUAGGAACUAGGGAGGUAGGUGUCGCAAGAGGGAUGCCUCUUUAUGUGAUGAUGAUGUGCCUACUACACAGGCUAUUCAGAGUUCAGUACAUGCCGAAUACAACCAUGUCAUUGUGACUCAAUUGUUUCAUUUUAGAGAUUUCUCUACACCUCCAUGUGUUCCUAUCUUUGGAGAUCAUUUUCUCAUGACAUACCCUCAUACCCUCAUUUGACUAUAUGACAAGUGUUGAAUUGCCCUCUAUUAUGUCACAUACGUCAUUUCAGCCCCAUAAUGAGUCCGGUGAUGACUUUGCUCGUAUCUACGACUUUCUAAGCUCUUCAAUGGGCUUUUCACCUGUUUUUUUAAGUGGACACAAACAUUGUUUCUCGUGAUGCUCCUUCCAUUACCACUACAGAUCGUUCCUAUUUCAUAUACAGUUAGACUCUCAUGGUGGACACCUCAGAUGAUGAUGAGGAGGAACAAAUGCCUAAGAGAUUGCAAGCACUACCUAGGAGGUUUGAACGGGUAUAGCUAUAGCAAGAUUUACCACAUAGGCGAAUACAUUUAAGAUGUGGCUUCUCUAUCAAUCUGCACAAUAAAGGGCAAUGGGCACGUUGAUAGGUAAAAUUCAGACUUCAAGAUUUUUUUCUUAUCAGACCUCUUGUUUUAAAUAAUGACAAUACUAUUUUGUUUAAUUAUAUUAGACAUUUAUCGAUAGAUGUUACAAUAUUUAUCUUAACUUAUAUUAUUUGUAAAACAAAAAAUAUUCAAAAUAGGAUAUGACUUCAACAUAUUUCAAUUUAAAUUAAUUUUUGUACUAUAAAAUGGAAACUAAAUCUCGCUUCUAGCCAUUCAUUGAUGAUCAAUCAAUGGAUAUGAUGGAAAAAAUAGUAGAUUUUAAAGGUAAUUUUGUUUGAAGGCAUAAUCUAAUCCUUGAUAAAUUAGGGUUUAGGGAUUACUAAUAACAAAAAUUUAAAUUUUUUUGAAAAAUGUCGCUGCAUUCAAUUAAGAUGCAGCGAUCAUAAUUUUUUUAAAAAAAUAUUACUCUGUUGCAUGCUAUAUGACAUGCGACAAAUCCUUUUUAAAAAAAAAAAAAGAUUUCCCUCUUUAAUUUUAGCAGCAGCGAAAAAAUUAGAAAUUAAAUGAAUAUUUCAUGAUCGUUGCAUUUGGCCCUAAGUUUAGCACAAAAUCUCUAGGAACACCACUUUUAGGAUGUGUUUUUGAAUUUAAUAAUAUUUUAUGGAAUUUGCCCUCAAAGUCCAUGUCCUAUUGCAUUUCAUCAAAACAUGUUCAUAUACCUUCUAUCCAACUUUUAAGCCAUAUUAUGGACUAACUGAUUUCUUAUUCUUCUUCAUUCUAAUUAUUUGUUUGGUCUUCUUUUCCGACUGUGGGAUGCAGUGCUAAAACAUAAAUAUUUUAUCAAGUAUGACAAAAAAAAAAAAAAGACUAGCAAGAAAGCAUAAAACUGCAAGUUAAAAGCAUAAAUUUACUUGCUAGUUUGAAAUUAAUCCAUUGGCCACCUAACCAAUCGUGAUGUAGCCUCAAUUGGUCCAAGGGACAAAAUAGUUUGAUUGAUUUCCCAUUUAUGAUGCCUAUCCAUCACCCAUCACUCGGAAAUAUACAUCACCCAGGUCAUACAAGUUUUUGGAAUUACCCAAGUCAUACAAGUUGAAACAACUUAUCGGAACAUGUGAAAGCAAAAGUCGGAGCUAAUCAACACUGACAACCUCUUUUGAUGGUUCAGAUUCAUCUUCUAGUAGGUCAACAGAUUGAGUUUUUUUUUAUUUCCUUUGUGGUUAGGGUGCAAAAUUAGGGUUAGGGAAAGGAAAAAUUGGGGAAAAUGGAGGAUCAUGCCACAUGGUCCUUUACUUACUUUUGUGGUCAAUGAUGGUUGACAAAUACACCUGAUUAACCCAUUUUAUAUUAGGUUAAAAUUUUAUGUGGGUUGACAAAUUUACCCUUUAAAAGUUGAUCACGUGAUGCUUUCGUGAUUUAUUCCAACCAAAAUAUGACUAAAAAGGUGAUGAAGAAUAAAAAUUAGCAUUUUUACUUAUGAGGGACUAAAAUGAAUCAUUUUCAUUUUGAAGGGCUAAAAUUUCAUAUCAACUAUAUAUGGGGGACUAUUAGCGUAAUUUUUCUAUAUAGGAAAUACUCAUUGGUUGGGAACCCACCAGACGCUACCUUCCUAAAGCUAAACGCAGGUGGCUUCUCGAAAGCAGGUGCACAGGAAGCACAACCAACAGCGUGGCUAAGGCUUGGACGAUUAGAGAGGGAUUUCACGUUGCAAUUCAACAAAAAAUUUUCACCCAUAUUAUUGUUGAAUCUGACUCUAAAGUCAUUAUUGAUAUAAUUAAUAGGGAUGAUGUUGACAAUCACUUACUUUCUCCCCCAUUUUAUCAGAUCGCAGAGAACUUGUCCAACAGAUUUUACGAGUUUUUUUUUAAAGAGUUUGAAUGGGUUCGGUUCCAAUCACUAUUACGAAUCAGGGGAUGACUCUGGGAUCAUAAGUGAUUCUACGAGUCAAGUUUAAGCAUAUCCUCAAAGAAUCAAAUAUAUGCGCGAUCGAUCAGUGGGCUAAACUGGGAACUCAGCAAGAAAAGGAUUUUGUAUUGCAUCUGCUCCCUCCUCCUCUCGUAAGCAGUAUCUUAUAUAUAUAUUUAUGACAUUAGAGGAGUUAAGUUUCUUAGGAUGGUUGUAGAAGAUCUAUGUUAAUUUAAUUUAAGGUCUUUUUUCUUCCGUAAAAAAAAUAAAAAUAAAAGCUUUUUAAUAGGAAGAUAUAUCACUUGGAAAGUAUAAAAGGCUACAUAACAUGCAUUAAGCAGAAUUGCUUAUAACUAACAUACUAGUGAGAUUUUGAAAAUUUCUUGAAGUUUCCUUAAAAAUAAAAAAUGUCUAUGCUAUCUUUAAUAGAAACUCUCUUAAAUGAAACAUUUUGUGGGAAUGUUUGACUGCAAUGAUCUAGUAUCAUUUUACCAGUUAGUUAUGCUUUACUUGAAUUUUUUUUAAAAGCACUUCUUGUGCUCAGCUUGAAUUCUAGCCCUUUUUUUUUUUUUUCACAGCAAUUCAGAUUACCAUUAUAGACUAAACUCUGAUUUUCAAACCUAAUUUCCAAAUAUGCUGUACUUAAUAGAUAUCUUCUCUAGUUAGUGCAAAUAAAUUUGAUUUUCAUACUUAGCAAUGCAUUAUACAUACAAGAAGAAGAGGAAAAGAACCCUUGUUUGGACAGUCAUUUUCCAAAGAAAAAUUGCUACGUUUUCCGUGAACACAUUUUCCAAUCACCCUUUUACCUCACAUAUAUUAAAUCGCUACAGUAAUUUUUCUACAAAAAAUCUAGAAAAAUGCAAUCCAAACACAAAACUUUUGCGUUGGAUCUAGUUGCUCGGACUUGGCUUGUAACUUGCAUAACUUUUGGGUUGGAUUAGGUCUUGAGACAAAACCAUACAGUCUGGACAGAUAUGAAAAUAAUGAAAUGAAGAUGGGAGCAACCAAAAUGAUGAAAGAUGUUGUGGUUUAUGACUCCACAAAGCAAUGUCGUCCUUGCAGAAAGUAAAGAUACACAACCAAGUUUUAUAACUUGAUCGAUAAAAAAAACCAACAGCAAGCAAUGUACAUGUAUCUGGUCAUUGCUACCAUUGUCAUGGAUAUCAAGAAACUGAAGGAUGAUUUUGAUGAACGUCGCUUUUCCUUCGCUAGGAGGGAGAACAACUAUGUCAGUCAUAAGUUGGCAAAAUUUGCUAUGAACUUGAAAGGAUGUUUGCUGAAUAGAAGUGUGACUCCCCAGUCUGGCUGCUUGAAAGUGCUCACGCAGAUUUUAGGAGAGCAGUAGCUCUAAUAUUGUAAUCCUUAUUUCAGUAAUGAAAUGUUGUCAUUUUGGAGGGGGAAAAAAGAAGCAAUGUACAUGUACCUGGUGGCAAAACGUGUAUCAAUUUUCUGGCUUGUUCGAGCCUUGACUUCUCACGAGAUCUUCUACAGUCAAACAAAACAAUUAUUUUUCUUUGUUUAUUAGUAUUUUUUUGUCCUCAAAGCCCAUCUUAAUUGGUAAGAAUAUUAGUUAUAUGAUAAUGAGAUGCUGAUUCGACUCUCAAACUCUUCCCUUUUUCUCUUCCCUUUAUAAUGCUUGUACUCUUCUCUAAAACCAAAAAAAAAAAAAAAAAAUUCAAGUAGUAUUUUUUUUUUCUUUUUUUCCCAUUUUUUGUGCUCGCAUGUUUAUUUUUAAUUUCAUUUUUUUGGGGUGCGCGUACAAGGGAAAUUAGAAACCCUAUAAGUUCGAUCUAGCUGCUCGAACUCGACUCUUAAGUUCACGUGAUCUAUCUGCUUGGACUGGGAUUGAAACUCACAUAAACAAUUAGGGUUGAGUUUGUACUCAAGAUUGAUUGUAAGUCGUAACUUCAGCUUCAAAUUACUAUGAUCUGGAUUUUGGAUAGAAGUCUGACAAGCAAGAUUCAUAUGCAUGGUGUCUAGCUACAAAUGAUGGAAGUUAAAAGGUAAGCAUCACCGAAUUGAAAACGAAGUAAAUUUUCAUUACAACUUACAAGCAAGCCGUCGUAGCCUUGAUAGGUAACUGUAGUAGAAUUUCCGGAAAGAAUAUUAUUGAUUAAAGAAAAAAAAAAAAA